CCUACGGGAGGCUGCAGUGGGGAAUAUUGCACAAUGGGGGAAACCCUGAUGCAGCGACGCCGCGUGAGUGAAGAAGUAAUUCGUUAUGUAAAGCUCUAUCAGCAGGGAAGAAAAUGACGGUACCUGAGUAAGACGCCCCGGCUAACUACGUGCCAGCAGCCGCGGUAAUACGUAGGGGGCAAGCGUUAUCCGGAUUUACUGGGUGUAACGGGAGCGUAGACGGCAGUGCAAGUCUGGAGUGAAAGGCGGGGGCUCAACCCCCGGACUGCUCUGGAAACUGUACGGCUGGAGUGCAGGAGAGGUAAGUGGAAUUCCUAGUGUAGCGGUGAAAUGCGUAGAUAUUAGGAGGAACACCAGUGGCGAAGGCGGCUUACUGGACUGUAACUGACGUUGAGGCUCGAAAGCGUGGGGAGCAAACAGGAUUAGAUACCCGGGUAGUC
Molecule: ribosomal RNA, 440 nt
Filed under: uncultured bacterium
Lineage: Bacteria
Description: partial 16S ribosomal RNA
Rfam family: Bacterial small subunit ribosomal RNA
Source: RNAcentral